UAAUAAGUGUUUUAUGGCACUUUUUAAAUCCAUAUCCACCUUGUGUGCAAUGUCAGUCGUAUUCUUUCGUCAUGAGAGAUCGACCAAGCAUCAACUUAUUCUAUUAACUCUUUGUCUGAAAACUAUUAUGAAUAAACUAAUUCAAAAUA
This 149-nucleotide unclassified non-coding RNA is filed under the name soil metagenome. RNAcentral describes it as "partial internal transcribed spacer 1". The record is from RNAcentral.